Non-coding RNA from Takifugu rubripes (torafugu), 114 nucleotides. Lineage: Eukaryota; Metazoa; Chordata; Actinopteri; Tetraodontiformes; Tetraodontidae. The record is from Rfam.
CUGGGAUACGGAGACAUGUGCCCUCAGACCACCUCUGGGAUGCUCGUUGGGGCCCUGUGCGCCCUUGCGGGUGUCCUCACUAUCGCCAUGCCCGUCCCCGUCAUCGUGAACAAC